UUCUCAGAGCCUCUUACCACAGCAACAGAAAGUGCCAGCGUCCCCACCUUGGUUCUGCCGUUCUCAUCCCUGGUGAGACUCCCAGAAGUGAAAACAGCAACUCCUUCCAUCCCCACCACAGAAAGUGGUAACUCCUGCGCGUGCAUGGGAGAGCUUGCCCGGGCCUCCCACUAGAGCACUGGUGACACCAUCUAGCAGAAUCUACCAUGCUCCACCAAAUCGGCACCAGUCAGCAGGAGCCACAAGAACCAGCAGGAAUACCAGGAGAAGCUCUCUGCCUUGCCUCUCUCACCAAAGUGAACGUCAGUGAGACCAACGAAGCGUUGCACAGCUAACUAUGCAAAUGCAUUAUAACUGCCCAUUCAGCCUAUACUCUCUCCAAAUGCCAUGUGUCAUCUCACAGUGUUCCUGUACAACCCACUCUGGCCCAGAACUAACAGUCUUCCUGCCUGUUUCCCAGAGCUGGAUCUCUGAUGUGUGUCAGUACACAGGGUAAUUGCUGUGCAACAAACUCCUUUCUGUGCUCGAAGUGUGGCUGCCACGUCUCUCAUGUGUCCAUCAGCUGUUCACGUUGUC
This is a long non-coding RNA of Mus musculus (house mouse), 576 nucleotides long. RefSeq annotates it as predicted gene, 39848. The record is from RefSeq and is a predicted model, not a curated record. The transcript has 4 exons. NCBI's taxonomy places the organism in Eukaryota, Metazoa, Chordata, Mammalia, Rodentia, Muridae.